UAUUUACACUAUUGAAGGCACCUGAGAUGUCAAAAAAUACAGACAAAAGAUAUUGAUUACUUGCUAAACAUUGAUGCGCAUCAAGCUGUAACUGCGCUAUACUCUCCCUAGAAGACCGACCUUUGCGAAAACCAAACUGAUUAUUAGGCAAAAGACAAUUUUGUUCUAUAAAGAACUCGAGACGUUGUUUUAGAAGCUGCUCAAAUAUCUUCCCAAUACAAGACGUGAGAGCUAUAGGUCUAUAAGAGUCAGGUAACAUUUUAUUUUUGUCUGGCUUUAAAACUGGGAUUAAACAGUCUGUUUUCCAUUCUGGAGGAAUAGUAUUCUCCUUCCAUAGGCGAUUAAGAUUAUUUAAAAAGAUGUUGAGACUGUGGCAAUUAAGUUUUUUGAGUAAAAUAUAUGGAAUGGUAUCGAGACCGAAAGAUGUAUCUCUUCUAGUAAAUAAAGCGGAUUUUAGUUCUUGUAAAGAAAAAGGCUCUAUCAAAUAUUUAUUACUAUCAUUAACAACAUUUACAUAGUUAGUUAACUCAUUUGAUACAAAGUCAGAAGUAUACUUUUGUAGAAAAUCUGGAAUCCAACUAUCAUUCAACACACUGUCAGGAAUGUAAGUUUUGUUAAAUUUGCGCAUGUAUUUCCAAAUUGAAGACAAAGGAGUACAACGAUUAAAUGAAUUGCACAAGCCUAUCCAGCUAUUUCUUCUUUCACUUUUUAAGAUAAGUUUUUUUAAAGCCCGCAAUCUCUUAAACUCCACAUAAUUUUCAUUUAAAAUAUAUUAUAUUUAAGAUAUUUAAAAGAUUUUUGUGAACAAGAACUAGUAACAUUAUUACUAUUAGAACUUUUGGAAAACAGACAGCUAGGGAUUGACUGCUUGGCAGCAGAAAGUAAAAUAUUACAAAAGGAAUUAAAAGCAUCUAUUGAAGAUAAAGUGUCAAAUUUAACAUCAUCCAAAUAAGAAACAACUAAGUUACUAUACAUAUUCCAAUUCACCUGCUUAUAAUUAGGGGAGAUGAUAACUACUGCCCAGAGGACUGUCAAUAACUGACCAGUCACAUAAAAGAGCCAAAGAUGGAGUUACCAAAGUCAAGUCAAGAGCAUUAGGACGCCAAGAUGGAGAUCCUAUUGUGGUAGCUUGACCAUUAUUCAGAAUAACAAGACCAUUCUCAUCUAUAACCUCUAAAACAUCUUUACCUCGAGGCAAUGUAUCAACACAUCCCCACAACAUGUGAUGAGCAUUGAAAUCACCUGCAAAUAUCAUUGGCUCUGGAAUGGACUUAAUUAAACUGUUUAAAUUGUUUUUAUUAAAUGGAGGAUUUGAAUUGGAAGGACUGUAAAAACUCACAAUACUCAGUUCUUUGUUAUUAAUUUUAAUUUUAAUGCAAACAUUUUGUAGAGCACUAUCAAAAUAUGUAUUUAUGUUAGAAAAUGUGAUAUUAUUAUGAAUAAAAAUUGCUACACCA
Molecule: long non-coding RNA, 1457 nt
Organism: Leptidea sinapis
Lineage: Eukaryota; Metazoa; Arthropoda; Insecta; Lepidoptera; Pieridae
Exons: 2
Source: RefSeq, a predicted model, not a curated record